UACACCUAUUAAGUCGUCGGCAGCGUCAGAUGUGUAUAAGAGACAGAUAUAGAAUCGGUAGGGGAGCUUCCCAUGGGCGGUGAAGCCGCCGGGCGACCGGCGGUGGAGCGCAUGGGAGUGAGAAUGCUGGCAUGAGUAGCGAGAGACGAGAGAGUAACUCGUCCGCCGUGAACCCGAGGUUUCCUGGGCAAGGCUAAUCCUCCCAGGGUCAGUCGGGGGCUAAGGCGAGGCCGGUAGGCGUAGCCGACGCGCAGCAGGCAGACAUUCCUGCACCGCGCACGCGGCGCUACGACCGACGGGGCGACGGAUGGGGGUGGCUCGGCGGGGUUCUGGACGUCCCCGUGAUGGAGCGCGGCCCGCGGACCAGGGAAAUCCGGUCCGCAUCAAGGGCGAGGCUCCGGACGAAGCGACUGAGCGAAGCGAGUGAGCCCGAGGUCCCUAGAAAAACCCCUAGGCAGGCGCGUGCGCGCCCGUACCGCAAACCGACACAGGUGGGUGGGUAGAACAUACCGAGGCGAUCGGGUCAACCAUGGUCAAGGAACUCGGCACAAUGGCCCCGUAACUUCGGGAGAAGGGGUGCCCGCGCGUACGUGAACCGGCUUGCCCGGGGAGCGGAGGCGGGCCGCAGUGGAGAGGCCCAAGCGACUGUUUACCAAAAACACAGGACUCUGCAGAAGCCGCAAGGCGACGUAUAGGGUCUGACGCCUGCCCGGUGCCGGAAGGUCACGCGGAGGAGUUAGCCGUCAAGGCGAAGCCCCGAAGCCAAGCCCCGGUAAACGGCGGCCGUAACUAUAACGGUCCUAAGGUAGCGAAAUUCCUUGUCGGGUAAGUUCCGACCUGCACGAAAGGCGCAACGACUUGGGCGCUGUCUCGACCAUGGACCCGGUGAAAUUGCACUGGUCGUGAAGAUGCGACUUACCCGCGGAAGGACGGAAAGACCCCGUGAACCUUCACUGCAGCUUGGCAUUGGCCGCUGGUCCCGCGUGUAGAGGAUAGGCAGGAGGCAUCGAUCCGGAGGCGCCAGCCCCCGGGGAGCCGCCCUUGGAAUACUGCCCUCGCGCGACCGGCGUCCUAACCCGAGGCCGUCAACCGGCUCGGGGACCGUGCCAGGCGGGCAGUUUGACUGGGGCGGUCGCCUCCUAAAGGGUAACGGAGGCGCGCGAAGGUCCGCUCGGGACGGUCGGCAACCGUCCUUUUGAAUGCAAGAGUACAAGCGGGCUUGACUGCGAGGCCCACAAGCCGAGCAGGUGCGAAAGCAGGCUCUAGUGAUCCGGCGGCCCCGAGUGGGUGGGCCGUCGCUCAACGGAUAAAAGGUACUCCGGGGAUAACAGGCUGAUCUUGCCCAAGAGUCCACAUCGACGGCAAGGUUUGGCACCUCGAUGUCGGCUCAUCGCAUCCUGGGGCUGAAGUCGGUCCCAAGGGUUGGGCUGUUCGCCCAUUAAAGCGGUACGCGAGCUGGGUUCAGA
Molecule: ribosomal RNA, 1466 nt
Filed under: human gut metagenome
Description: bacterial LSU rRNA
Rfam family: Bacterial large subunit ribosomal RNA
Source: RNAcentral